This 1596-nucleotide long non-coding RNA is filed under the name Gallus gallus (chicken). RNAcentral describes it as "lncRNA (ENSGALG00010000074.1)". The record is from RNAcentral. Lineage: Eukaryota; Metazoa; Chordata; Aves; Galliformes; Phasianidae.
CCCAAAUCCCCCCAUGGCCCUUUAAAUCCCCCCCCCCAAAGUCUGCACUGUCCCUUUAAAUCCUCCCCCCCCCCAUAUAUCAGUCAUUGGGGGGGGGGUCAUUAUUAAGGUAGGUCCUCCAACCCCCCCAUUUUGGGACCCCCCCCCCCAAACCCCCCCAUAUCCCUUUAAACCCCCCCAUUUUAUUACUCCCCCCCCCCCAAAUCCCCCCAUGGCCCUUUAAAUCCCCCCCAAAGUCUGCACUGUCCCUUUAAAUCCCCCCCCCAUAUAUCAGUCAUUGGGGGGGGGGUCAUUAUUAAUGUAGGUCCUCCAACCCCCCCAUUUUGGGACCCCCCCCCCCAAACCCCCCCAUAUCCCUUUAACCCCCCCAUUUUAUUACUCCCCCCCCCCCCCAAAUCCCCCCAUGGCCCUUUAAACCCCCCCAAAAUCUGCACUGUCCCUUUAAAUCCCCCUCCCCCCCCAUAUCAGUCAUUGGGGGGGGGUCAUUAUUAAGGUAGGUCCUCCAACCCCCCCAUUUUCAGACCCCCCCCCCCCAAACCCCCCCAUAUCCCUUUAAACCCCCCCAUUUUAUUACUCCCCCCCCCCCCAAAUCCCCCCAUAUCCCUUUAACCCCCCCCCCAAAUUCUGCACUGUCCCUUUAAAUCCUCCCCCCCCCCCCCAUAUAUCAGUCAUUGGGGGGGGGUCAUUAUUAAGGUAGGUCCUCCAACCCCCCCAUUUUGGGACCCCCCCCCCAUAUACCCCCAUAUCCCUUUAAACCCCCCCAUUUUAUUACCCCCCCCCCAAAAAACUCCGCAGUGUCCCUUUAAAUGCCCCCCCCAUAUAUCAGACAAUGGGGGAGGGGCGUUAUUAUUGUCGGUCCUCCAACCCCCCCCAUAGGUCAGAUAUUGGGGUGUGGGGGGGUCGUUAUUAUUACAGACCCCCCCCCCAAUAAUAACGGCCCUUCCGUGACCCCCCCCCACCGCCCCCCCCCCAAAAAAAACCACCAAAACGACAAAAAACGACAAAAAAAACCCAAAACGGCGUCGGGGAAACGCAGUGGGAAAUAAAAGAGCCGCCGCUUCGCUGCGGGGUGCAGUGCCGCUCAGUCACCGCCAGGGGGCGCUGUGGGCAAUGCAGCCCUAUGGGGGCGCUGUGGGCGAUGCAGCCCUAUGGGGGCGCUGUGGGUGCAGUGCCGCUCAGUCACCGCCAGGGGGCGCUGUGGGCAAUGCAGCCCUAUGGGGGCGCUGUGGGCGAUGCAGCCCUAUGGGGGCGCUGUGGGUGCAGUGCCGCUCAGUCACCGCCAGGGGGCGCUGUGGGCAAUGCAGCCCUAUGGGGGCGCUGUGGGCGAUGCAGCCCUAUGGGGGCGCUGUGGGUGCAGUGCCGCUCAGUCACCGCCAGGGGGCGCUGUGGGCAAUGCAGCCCUAUGGGGGCGCUGUGGGCGAUGCAGCCCUAUGGGGGCGCUGUGGGUGCAGUGCCGCUCAGUCACCGCCAGGGGGCGCUGUGGGCAAUGCAGCCCUAUGGGGGCGCUGUGGGCAAUGCAGCCCUAUGGGGGCGCUGUGGGUAAUGCAGCCCUAUGGGGGCGCUGUGGGCGAUGCAGCCCUAUGGGGGCGCUGUGGG